CUCGGACGCAGUCGCGAGGAGCGCGGGAUGUAGGACUCUCGAGCACAAAGACGACUUGCUUGUAUCUCGCGAGGCGGGAAGGAUACGGUUAACGGUUAGCUUUGUCGGCAAGGAGAAGAGUAUGAGGGGCAACCGCACGAGAAGCGCGCAAACGGGAUGCUCACGCUUACAGCGACCCGAUACAGGCUCUCUCGACUCCGCAACCCCGCUACAUCGAGCUCCCUGCCCUCCCUCCGACGUCGCCCUCAUUCUCCACCCCGAUGAUCCCCUCUCCGCCUCUGACUCCUUCAGCUCGUCUCCAAGCCGGCUCUCCGGGCAUUGGCGGCGCGCGGAAGACCUUAAGAGCCAGAGAGACCCUCGACAUCGCUGUCAAUCCGACAGGAACGAAGGAACGGGCGUCUGGAGGCAGUAGCUGCAGUCCCUUGACAGCAGUAUGCGUCGCCUAAACCGUUCCCUGGUCGAUCGUCUCCACUCCUGAAGACGCUUCACGCCGCCGGCUCACUCACGACGACUCUCGAUCACUCGCUCCUCCCCAUUCCUCCCGAGCCAGCCUCUGCCCGUCUGACCUCGCCUCUCCAUCUGCACGACGAGAAGGAACCGCAAUCUCACCCCGCAACUCCGCUCGUCUCUCGCGCCGUUGAGUGUGCCGUCAGACAAGCAGGGCUAGGCAAAGCGGAAGGUGGACUGAGCGACGAGGAGGAUGUUGAGCGGCGGCACUUCGCUGACUUGCCAUGCUCCCCUCCCUCGCACGCGUAG
Molecule: unclassified non-coding RNA, 756 nt
Filed under: Rhodotorula toruloides
Lineage: Eukaryota; Fungi; Basidiomycota; Microbotryomycetes; Sporidiobolales; Sporidiobolaceae
Source: RNAcentral